GUGCUAGCUUUGGUAGCACUUAUACUAAAAUUGGAAUGAUACAGAGAAGAUUAGCAUGGCCCCUGCGCAAGGAUGAUGCAAAUUCAUGAAGCGUUUCAUAUAAAA
Cebus imitator (Panamanian white-faced capuchin) is the source of this 105-nucleotide small nuclear RNA. NCBI's taxonomy places the organism in Eukaryota, Metazoa, Chordata, Mammalia, Primates, Cebidae. The record is from RefSeq and is a predicted model, not a curated record.